This is a long non-coding RNA of Lepus europaeus (European hare), 2833 nucleotides long. RefSeq lists it as uncharacterized. The transcript has 6 exons. Lineage: Eukaryota; Metazoa; Chordata; Mammalia; Lagomorpha; Leporidae. The record is from RefSeq and is a predicted model, not a curated record.
GGCUCUGAGGAAGUGCUGGAGGAGUGGCUGUGGCCCUGGCUGCUGCUGAUGUGAGCAGAGGUUUCUGAGAGUGCUGGCGGAGGAGGAGCUGAGCUAGAGCUGAAAGAGGUGGAGCUGUCGCCAGAGGACCUUGGCUAGGCUGUGGGGAAGAGCUCGCUCGCCAAGGAGCAGGAGUUGCAGCAGGCCAGAGGGGUAGGCAGCGCCUCACUGAGGAAGUAGGCUCUUGGAAGCCAGGCCUGUAAUUGCUCUGAAGGGCCUGUUCCUGCCACUGUGCCUCGCAGGCAAAGCCGGUCCUGGCUCUUUUCCUUUAGCCUUCAUUCGGUGCCUGGACUCAUACAGUCUCUUGUGACACACAGGAAGCUGGGAUGCCCGUGCAGCUGUGUGAAGACAGCAGAGGCUUAAUGUUCUGCUAAUUGAAGAGUUCAACAUGCAAAAAGUAGAAAGACCACUGUUCAGAAGCAAGGUAUGUUGUUGAUAAGCAGAGGAAUGAUCAAGGAGCAGUUUCCAUGGCGGAAAAUCCCAUGCAGUGCUUGAAGACUAUCAACUUAACCACUGCUGUUCAAGAAAACUCUCAAAGAUGAAAAAAUAUGCUCAUGACUGAGGAAAACCAUUACAUUAUUGGAUCAUUUCUCUGACUUCUGCUUUUGGGUGAAAAAAGAGCCAAGGAUACCCUGGACUGUAUAUUCCAGAAGCUGUACAGAAAGUUUUCAAGGAAAGAUUAUAUUGUGUCCUCAAGUUCUGUGUCCUGGAGCUUUUUCAGAAUGGAUUAUGCUAUGGGAUAACAGAACUAUUGUCAGCCUUGUAUUUCCAUCAAAGGGACUGCUUACAUCUUAGCUGUACUUCUCACCUACUGCAUGACCUUGGGCUAUUCUUUGUGCAUUAAUGUCUUCAUCGCUGAAACCAUCCUAACAACAUUGACUUCAUAAUGCAGUUAUGAAGAUCAGCUGGUAAAUUUCAUAGUAUAGCAUACCAGUGAGGGAUUGGUGCACUCAUUAUUUCAUCUUCGUAAUGCUCCUGGGCUCCCAGGAAUAUCAGGGUCUAAUUCCACAUUUCAUCCGAUUAUGCAUUAAUAUUCUUUUCAGUAUUCUUACAGGUGACUUGUUAGCUUCUUAAUGAAGAGCUCUUUCAUUCAUGAGAGAGCUUUCUCUUGUCCUUGUCUGCCAACCCCAUACCCCAGGCUUUGAGAGAUCUAAAACUUCUGAGCUCCUCUGGCAAAGUUCUGAGUUCCUGUGGCAAAGGAAUAAGUAUAAUGAAGACUUCAGAAGCCUGUAGCUAUGCUGGAGGUUUCACUUUGCCUAGCUUCUGAUCUAGAAAACUUGCAGCCUUCUUUUGAGAUGUCUAGUUAGCUAUGAGAAUGGGCUUGAUUUAAUCGAGCCCUCCAUAUAUAAUCACAGAGAAGUUCCAACAAGACACCGAGUGACAGUCCAUUCCCUCAGAGUUCCCUUUGGGUCUUUUAAAGGAUGAUUUGUCCACUUGAAAAGUCAGUCAUUUAUGAUUCUGGGUAAUAGGUGAAGCACCUAGUAACCUAUGCAGAUGCUCAACAGGAUGAAGACGAAGUACAUGAGAAGCAGGAAGGGCUGUUUAGCACUUUUCACGCUGGCUAAUGACUCUAUUGACCUUUAUAGUGCAAAAAUAGUCAUAUGAUUUUAGUAAGUUAUUUAGUCAUGUUAUUUGAGAUUGUAUGAUAUAUGUAGAUUUUUUCAAACUAGUUAUUUUCACCUUAGAUUACAAAGUAAUGUUUUUUUUUAAUAUUAGAUCUGCAGAAAAGUACCAUAAUACCCUCGCUUUCUGCAAACAGCUAUAACAAGUGAUCUCUAGAGGACUUUUCUGACUUUUAGAUCUUUAAUUCAUAGACUCUGCCUCAGACAGUUGGGAUUGCUACUAACAAAGUAACAUAAAUAGGGUGGCUUAUUAUCUUAGUUCGCUGUCUGUUUCUGUAACAGAAUAUGAUAUGCUGGGUAAUUACAAAGAAAUGAAAUGUAUUUGGGUCAUAAUUAUGGAGACACAGAUCUUAAGGGCAUAGCACUGGCAUCUGGUAUGCUGUGUCAUAACAUGGUGGAAGGUGAAAAAGCAAGAGCAAGUCAGCAAGACAGAGCAAAGUAAGCUUAAUGUACUUUUCUAACAACCCACUCUUGUGACAGUGAACCCAUUCCUGUGAGAAUGGUAAUAGAUAUAUUCACAUGGAUGGAGUUCUCAUGACCUAAACACUUCCCACUGGGCCCCUGCUUUCAAUACCUUUACACUGGGAAAUUGAGUUUUGAGCACAUGAUCUUUUUCCCAACACAUGCAAACAACAGCACUUACAAAUCAACAAAAAUUUAUUCCUUACAGUUCUGGCGCACAUGAUCUUUUUCCAACACAUGCAAACAACAGCACUUACAAAUCAACAAAAAUUUAUUCCUUACAGUUCUGGAGACGAAAAGGUCAAGGUACCAGAAUGGUUGGAUUCUGGUGAGGUGUUUUUUGAGGUUUACAGACUACUGUAUUCUUUUUGUGCCCUCACAUUGCACAAAGAGAGUAAGCAGUCUCUCUGGCCACCUCUUAGGAGGGUAUGAGUCCAGAAGCUCUACCUUUGUCAUCUAAUUAUUUCUCGAUGUUCCCUGCCUCCUAAUGCUAUCACAUUGGGAAUCAGGAUUUCAAUAUAUGAAUUUGGGGAGAACACAGAUACCAAAUCCGCAAUAGAUUUCUCCAUGUGAUGCUUUUAGAAUGGCUUUGACCCUUCCCCAGUCCACAUGGGAUGGGCUUUGUGUUCGGUCUAGAGAAGAGUGGUAGCCUGCAUCAUCUGUCACCUUCCUUUUGCUCUGGAUCUCUGGUGACUUGUAGAAUUCCUAUA